AGGAUGAACGCUGGCGGCGUGCUUAACACAUGCAAGUCGAACGAUGAACUGGCGCUUGCGUCGGGGAUUAGUGGCGAACGGGUGAGUAACACGUGAGUAACCUGCCCUUAACUCUGGGAUAAGCCUGGGAAACUGGGUCUAAUACCGGAUAUUGACUUUUCACCGCAUGGUGUUUUGUUGAAAGCUUUAGUGGUUUUGGAUGGACUCGCGGCCUAUCAGCUUGUUGGUGAGGUAAUGGCUUACCAAGGCGACGACGGGUAGCCGGCCUGAGAGGGUGACCGGCCACACUGGGACUGAGACACGGCCCAGACUCCUACGGGAGGCAGCAGUGGGGAAUAUUGCACAAUGGGCGAAAGCCUGAUGCAGCGACGCCGCGUGAGGGAUGACGGCCUUCGGGUUGUAAACCUCUGUCACCGGGGAAGAACGCUUCAGGUUAAUAUCCUGAAGCCUGACUUAACCCGGAGAGGAAGCAGUGGCUAACUCUGUGCCAGCAGCCGCGGUAA
This 503-nucleotide ribosomal RNA is filed under the name uncultured bacterium. RNAcentral's name for it is "SSU rRNA". It matches the Rfam family "Bacterial small subunit ribosomal RNA", at positions 26 to 523 of the family's 1533-position model. The record is from RNAcentral.